This 140-nucleotide ribosomal RNA is filed under the name uncultured eukaryote. RNAcentral describes it as "partial 18S ribosomal RNA". It matches the Rfam family "Eukaryotic small subunit ribosomal RNA", at positions 1299 to 1458 of the family's 1831-position model. The record is from RNAcentral.
UGGUGGAGUGAUUUGUCUGGUUAAUUCCGUUAACGAACGAGACCUCGACCUGCUAAAUAGAGCAACUAAUCCUUGUGAUUGGUUGGUACUUCUUAGAGGGACUGUCGGUGCUUAGCCGAUGGAAGUUCGAGGCAAUAACA